UGCAUAGGAAUCUGCCCGGUAGUGGGGGAUAACCUGGGGAAACCCAGGCUAAUACCGCAUACGUCCUACGGGAGAAAGGGGGCUUCGGCUCCCGCUAUUGGAUGAGCCUAUGUCGGAUUAGCUAGUUGGUGAGGUAAAGGCUCACCAAGGCAACGAUCCGUAGCUGGCCUGAGAGGAUGAUCAGCCACAUCGGGACUGAGACACGGCCCGAACUCCUACGGGAGGCAGCAGUGGGGAAUAUUGGACAAUGGGGGCAACCCUGAUCCAGCCAUGCCGCGUGUGUGAAGAAGGCCCUCGGGUUGUAAAGCACUUUCAGCGAGGAAGAACGCCUGGCGGUUAAUACCCGCCAGGAAAGACAUCACUCGCAGAAGAAGCACCGGCUAACUCCGUGCCAGCAGCCGCGGUAAUACGGAGGGUGCAAGCGUUAAUCGGAAUUACUGGGCGUAAAGCGCGCGUAGGUGGCUUGAUAAGCCGGUUGUGAAAGCCCCGGGCUCAACCUGGGAACGGCAUCCGGAACUGUCAGGCUAGAGUGCAGGAGAGGAAGGUAGAAUUCCCGGUGUAGCGGUGAAAUGCGUAGAGAUCGGGAGGAAUACCAGUGGCGAAGGCGGCCUUCUGGACUGACACUGACACUGAGGUGCGAAAGCGUGGGU
Molecule: ribosomal RNA, 650 nt
Filed under: uncultured Gammaproteobacteria bacterium
Lineage: Bacteria; Pseudomonadati; Pseudomonadota; Gammaproteobacteria
Description: bacterial SSU rRNA
Rfam family: Bacterial small subunit ribosomal RNA
Source: RNAcentral